CAGUAGCCCGGGAAAACGUAGGGCGCAAGCGUUGUCCGGAAUUAUUGGGCGUAAAGAGCUCGUAGGCGGUUUGUCGCGUCUGCUGUGAAAACUCGAGGCUCAACCUCGGGCCUGCAGUGGGUACGGGCAGACUAGAGUGCGGUAGGGGAGACUGGAAUUCCUGGUGUAGCGGUGGAAUGCGCAGAUAUCAGGAGGAACACCGAUGGCGAAGGCAGGUCUCUGGGCCGCAACUGACGCUGAGGAGCGAAAGCAUGGGGAGCGAACAGGAUUAGAUACCCGCUAGUCCCUGUCUCUUAUACAC
RNAcentral lists this ribosomal RNA (301 nucleotides) under uncultured bacterium. RNAcentral's name for it is "partial 16S ribosomal RNA". It matches the Rfam family "Bacterial small subunit ribosomal RNA", at positions 509 to 809 of the family's 1533-position model. The record is from RNAcentral.